RNAcentral lists this ribosomal RNA (468 nucleotides) under uncultured bacterium. RNAcentral's name for it is "partial 16S ribosomal RNA". It matches the Rfam family "Bacterial small subunit ribosomal RNA", at positions 28 to 507 of the family's 1533-position model. The record is from RNAcentral.
GACGAACGCUGGCGGCGUGCUUAACACAUGCAAGUCGAACGGGAAGGCCCUGCUUUUGUGGGGUGCUCGAGUGGCGAACGGGUGAGUAACACGUGAGUAACCUGCCCUUGACUUUGGGAUAACUUCAGGAAACUGGGGCUAAUACCGGAUAGGAGCUCCUGCUGCAUGGGGGGGGUUGGAAAGUCUCGGCGGUUGGGGAUGGACUCGCGGCUUAUCAGCUUGUUGGUGGGGUAGUGGCUUACCAAGGGUUUGACGGGUAGCCGGCCUGAGAGGGUGACCGGGCACAUUGGUACUGAGAUACGGCCCAGAAGCGUACGGGAGGCAGCGGUGGGAAAUAUUGCACAAUGGGCGGAAGCCUGAUGCAGCAACGCCGCGUGCGGGAAGACGGCUUUCUGGUUGUAAACCGAUUUCGCCUGUGACGAAGCGUGAGUGACGGUAAUGGGUAAAAAAGCACCGGCUAACUACGUG